This 253-nucleotide unclassified non-coding RNA is filed under the name uncultured Rickettsiales bacterium. Its description in RNAcentral is "contains 16S-23S intergenic spacer region". It matches the Rfam family "Bacterial small subunit ribosomal RNA", at positions 524 to 776 of the family's 1533-position model. Lineage: Bacteria; Pseudomonadati; Pseudomonadota; Alphaproteobacteria; Rickettsiales. The record is from RNAcentral.
UACGGAGGGGGCUAGCGUUGUUCGGAAUUACUGGGCGUAAAGGGCGCGUAGGCGACUUAGUAAGUUGGUAGUGAAAUCCUUGGGCUUAACCCAAGAACUGCUAUCAAAACUGCUAAGCUAGAGAUUGAUAGAGGGUGAUGGAAUUCCUAGUGUAGAGGUGAAAUUCUUAGAUAUUAGGAGGAACACCAGAGGCGAAAGCGAUCAUCUGGGUCACAUCUGACGCUGAGGCGCGAAAGCGUGGGGAGCAAACAGG